GAUGAAGAACGCAGCGAAAUGCGAUAAGUAAUGUGAAUUGCAGAAUUCAGUGAAUCAUCGAAUCUUUGAACGCACCUUGCGCCCUUUGGCCAUUCCGAAGGGCAUGCCUGUUUGAGUAUCAUGAACACCUCAACUCUCAUGGCUCGCCAUGAUGAGCUUGGAUUUGGGGGUCUUGCUGGCCUGUGGUCGGCUCCUCUCAAAUGGAUCAGCUUGCCAGUGUUUGGUGGCAUCACAGGUGUGAUAACUAUCUGCGCUUGUGGUUUUCCAUCAGAUAACCUUCAGUGAUGGAGGUUCGCUGGAGCUCAUAAACGUCUCCCCUAAGCGGGGACAGCCCUUUGAAUGUUUGAUCUCAAAGCAGGUAGGACUACCCGCUGAACUUAAGCAUAUCAAUAAGCGGAGGA
RNAcentral lists this unclassified non-coding RNA (401 nucleotides) under soil metagenome. Its description in RNAcentral is "partial contains 5.8S ribosomal RNA, internal transcribed spacer 2, and large subunit ribosomal RNA". The stretch from base 1 to 121 matches the Rfam family "5.8S ribosomal RNA", at positions 35 to 154 of the family's 154-position model. The record is from RNAcentral.